Grus americana (Whooping crane) is the source of this 4100-nucleotide long non-coding RNA. RefSeq lists it as uncharacterized. NCBI's taxonomy places the organism in Eukaryota, Metazoa, Chordata, Aves, Gruiformes, Gruidae. The record is from RefSeq and is a predicted model, not a curated record. The transcript is spliced from 2 exons.
GAAAAGUCUUCAUUGUCUGCAGCAAAUCCUGGGCAUCUCAAGCAAAUAACAUUUACUGCAGCUGACCUUCCCUCCACACCACCUCCCUUUAAGGUACCCUUUGUGGAGUUGUGAUGUUUGGCACAACAGAGAGACGUGGUGAUUUAUGCAUUGGAAGACUAAGGAAAUCUGGAAAGUCUUCCCAUUUUUCCAAACGCCCAUCUCUGUCAGCUCAUAUAUUGUAAUCACAGCUACUUCCUUCAGCACUGGUGGUAGAGGAUAGUCUUUUACCUGUGCCUUCCUACAAAUGGAAGGAGCAGACUUCUGCUAGCAAAAAUUGCAGCCAGUGUCACCAUUCCAUAGGAGAACAUGAAGAUGAGCAAGGCUAUUCUCAUGGAAAUAUGUGUUUGCAUAAGUAUCGACAUCAGAAGACUCUACACAGUUUCCUCACAGAGCACCUCAUGGAUUUGGGAGUCAUUCAGCCAGCAAAAAGAAAUGUGCCAUGAAAAGUAGGUAACCAGCCACACUGAGAGAGCAGCAGAUGGUGCAUCCAUGAAGCAAUUGUCACUGCAAAGAGCCUGGCAUGUUCUGCAGGCUGAAAUGUAUCUGCCUCAUUAAUGAAGCAAGCACUUGGGUAGGGAUGUCUAUGAAAAUCUAUAUAUACUUGCGAAUAAGUUGUAAACAGGCUGCAAGGUUGAUAUCUGGGAUGUAAAGAAGACGAUGGAAAAAGGACGGGAAGAAGAGCCAGCUGUAGGUAUCUUAAUCCUACUUCUCUUGCUGGUCCUAACCCUGGCAGAAACUCCUGGGCAGCUCAAAGCAGGUUUUGACUCCAAGGCACAGGGCAUUAGGGAUGGUGACCCAGGGGAAAGGAUUUCCAUGGAGGUGGAAUGCAGUUGGGGCUCACCUGCAUAAGAACAGCUCUGCUGAUUUGCCAGCAUCCCCUUUGGGGGCUCCAGGGGAUGAAGGGCUGGCUUCCCUGGAGGGCUGUGAAACCCAUUCACCUGGAUAACCCCCCUCAAGAAAUGGAUAGUUCACGAACAGGCUAUAGCUUGGCCUUUGAGGAGCAUGCUGAGAUGCCUCCAAGCUCUGCACAUAAUCGACAAACCCAUGACACAGCUCAUGGUCUCACAUACGGUUCUGCACAGAGAUGAGUCCCCACAUGAGAUCAAUUGGGCAAGGCGCUGUGCGCAGAGGUGAAGCAGAGUGGUCUGCAAGGAUCCAGUGCUCCUGGGAUGACCUGCUGGAUGCAAACAUACCACCGAAACUUCAUAUGCAUUAUUAUGGGGUUUUUAUAAUACUUCCUGAGACAAGAAUUGACCCAAGAACUCACAAGAGUAAUCUGAAAUCAGAUAUGGAUUCAAUGCACCUUCACUCUCCCUUGCAAACGCCAGCUUGACUGAGUCAGUGCCCAGCCGUCUCCCUGCACACUGGUACAGGGUGGGGGAGAACCAGGCUUGUCAUCUGCAUGCUCAGUCCCCUGAUGUGACAAGACGUAUUUGCCUUUAACCCCGGCAAAGGUUUCACCUGCUCCCACUGCUUCUUGAUAAAACAGUCAGCGCAUGAAACCAUCGCCACGGAUAUGAACAGAUGCAGAGAGGAGAAUGGGAACAACAGCAAACAUUAUGUUCCUCCCAGAGCAGUGCUCCUGUCGCUGCCCGUGCCACAUCUGUGUUUUUGAAGGGAAAUGUCAUAACAUUGCUAAUCAAUAAGAAGAGUGACAGGACCAUUUGUCAAGAGCGAGCCAGCACUGCAGCUGUUGUAGUCAUCCUCUCCCUGGGCUUUGCGACGAGAAGCCAAGGGAAGGACCUGAUUAUUUGCCUGCGGCAGCCCCCGCGCGCUCGCGGGCAGCCAGUGUGCGAGGGCAGGUCCGGCCAGCUUGCUAAGGCGCUGCGCCAGCCUUGCAGCAGUUGGGCUGAGCGAGCGGGCAAAAAGCCUGGCAGGAAGUAUAGAGUUUCGAACAAUGGGAUGUAAAAGACACCAGACACCCUGCAAGGGAGAGACGGUCCUGGGUGUUGGAGGAGUCUGUUGACCUUUAAUCCUGAGACCGCUGUUGCAUAUGCAUCACGUUUGAACUGCAGAUGUUCCUCGCUGCUCCGCCGGUCAGGGCGACAAGUGGCUGAUCUUACAGAGGAGGAGGCAGGGCUCAGAGAAAACUUAAUGAAGACUUUAAGCUGUGGGUUGCAAUUAAACCGGCCCAGCAGUGUAAGCAUAGUGGGGGUCGCUAAGCUCCUGCAGCUGCUCCGCCUGCAGUAAUGGCUUAGAGCUAAUGUCCGCGCUGAUAGGCACGGCUCUCCUCCACAAUGAGAGCAGUCGUGCAUGCUGGGGGGCUGUUGGCAGAGGUGACAAAACUGAGAUGCCCUUUCCCACCCCAUCAAAAUAAUUCUUAAAUUAGGAAAUUUAUCUUAAUCUGAUGGUCUAUCUGUGGGUUGCACUGUCACGGAUAAUGCUUCACCACUUUCCCCUAGACAGCUCUGGCCAGUAAAUAGAAAACGAAUAAAUAUCGAUAUAGUGAGGCACAGGGAAACAGCCUUUCUUUUUCAGACCAUGACCUGCCUUUUCAUAGGCAGAGUUUGGCCCUCAAUGUGGUCCCCCCAAGGAAAGAAAGCUGCCUCCUCAAAAGAGAGAUCUGCUUCUCUGUUCCCGAAAACAGCCAAUUAAAAUAAAAUCCACAUGUCACUUAUGGUGUCUGUACCAACUGUCAGGAUGCCGACAGGCUUAAAAUGAUACAGGCUCGAGCCUGGAUUAGACUUCUGAACUAUCUCCACCCAGGUACAAAUAUAAUAUUGCUCCCACGCAAGGUUCCUUAGUUCACCAGUAAAUGCUGUUUCACUAACAGCAAGGACCAGGAUCCUCACCCAGUGUCACCUUAGCGGCAGCUAAUGGCACCUGAAGGUUGUGUCCUGACAUUCAGGUUCAGACCCUGAUGCUGGAGCUCAGCAAAGUAUAGCCAAACUCUUUCUUUUGUAACCAAAGUUUCUUCCAAGUGAAAACUGCCAUUUUUCUCUUAUUCACAGUAUUUUGAAAAAAAAUUGUCAGUUCUGGCAGUAUUCAGUUUCCAGAACUUCUUGUCCCAAAACAAAGCAUUCCCAUAAGGUUGAAGUGGCCCAUGUGAACAUUUCUGGAAUGGAAUCUUUUCAGUUCUCAUUUGGAAAUGAUUUUUUCCCACAUGCAAUUCAUUGUUAUUAUGUUCACACAAAAACACAUCGACAAGCUUUCAAAGGGCAAACUUGGACCAAAAAUGGUUUGAUUUCAUAACAGCGGAAAGUUUUGAUUGACCCAAAGUAACAUUUUAUCGGACCUCCAUUUCGCACAGAAUUUCGCUUGCACGCAAAUGUUUCCAUUGUGUUCGGGAACCAGGAAAAUAUAUUUCCACACAUGGAAAGAUCUGGUUUACCUUGAUCUCACGAGUCCUCCCUGUAGCUGGUUCUCCCUCCCUGGUUCUCCUGCUCAGGCUAGAAGCUGGCAAGGCUUUGGCACUGCCCAUCACAACAGCCAUCACUGGAUUUCACCCCCUUGCAAAACCACUAGCCUUGGGUUGCUGGCCAUCGCAGCCUCCACCAAGGGCGAAUUCAUUAAAGCCGGUAGGUCUGAUCAGAAUGCACGAAGCGUUACAGAAAUGGCCAGGCUUGAGAGAUAAUUCGUCAAAGUAUUUGUCGUUUCUCAUCUUUUUAAACAUGCUGCAGAUCUUCAGGCAUCUGAAUUCUGGCCCAGCGGUCCAAGAAGCGGUCAUAUAAAGAGAUGAAAUUUUGAAGAAAAGGGGUAGGUCAAGAAGGUUGAAUUCAUUUUAAGGAAUUAUAUAGCUUUCAUAACAAUAUAUCUACUGCCUGUAAUUUAUAACCCAGGCUGCUGUAAUGCUCCUGUAUGCCUGUUUGUUUCUGCGGUUCCAGUUCAGUGGAGAAUUUCAGCAUACACUUUGAUUGACAGGGCAGAUGGUAACAUUGUUUGCCUUUAAUCUAAACCUAUUAUUUAAUAUAUCUGUUAGUUUUAUUCUUUUUUAACAGAGUACUAGUGACUAUAAAGUUUAAUUGACCUUUUUUGCCAAAAAAUAAAUCGUUGCUGGUUUCAGUGGGGAUUCUACUUUUAUCUGCCAAUAAAAAGCUGAAGGAAACCUCUUAACUACA